GACGAACGCUGGCGGCGCGCUUAACACAUGCAAGUCGAGCGAGAACCAGGCCUUCGGGCCUGGGGACAGCGGCGAACGGGUGAGUAACACGUGGGUAAUCAACCCUCGAUACUGGGAUAGCCCGGGGGAACCCGGAUUAAUACCGGAUGGCCCUUUGGAUCCUCGGAUCUGACGGAAAAGGUAGCUUCGGCCUCCGAUCGAGGACGAGCCCGCGGCGGAUUAGCUUGUUGGUGAGGUAACGGCCCACCAAGGCGACGAUCCGUAGCUGGUCUGAGAGGACGAUCAGCCACACUGGGACUGAGACACGGCCCAGACUCCUACGGGAGGCAGCAGUGGGGAAUCUUGCGCUAAUGCGGGAAACCGUGACGCAGCGACG
This 376-nucleotide ribosomal RNA is filed under the name uncultured bacterium. RNAcentral describes it as "bacterial SSU rRNA". It matches the Rfam family "Bacterial small subunit ribosomal RNA", at positions 28 to 396 of the family's 1533-position model. The record is from RNAcentral.